Long non-coding RNA from Nomascus leucogenys (northern white-cheeked gibbon), 4792 nucleotides. RefSeq lists it as uncharacterized. The transcript is spliced from 3 exons. The record is from RefSeq and is a predicted model, not a curated record. Lineage: Eukaryota; Metazoa; Chordata; Mammalia; Primates; Hylobatidae.
UGCUGCUUCCCUCCUUUAUGGCUCACACAGCCCAUAUCCGGCUGUUUAUGAACGAGAUUCCCUCUGUGCCCAGCGUCGUGCUUGAUGACAGGACACUGCACAGAGAAGUCUGAACAGAGGCUCCUGCCCUCAUGCAGCCACUUGUAGCCAGAACAGGCACCUGGCCAAAGAUCCUGGGCGUGGCUUUCUCCAUAACCAUCGCCCAGCACAUCCACCGGACUGGUAAGAAGUAGGAUGCGUGUGUGGGCUGGCUGGAGUGUCCCCACAAGCCACUCUCCACUCCUCGCUCCUCUACUGGAUGCUCUGUGGAGGCAGAGGAUUUGGGCUUUGUGUUGCCAGCCUGCAUUCUCCAGAUAUGACCCCUGCGCCCACCCACCCCUCCCUCAGCCACAGCCUUCUCAGUGGUGGAGGGGUGGGGAGGAGUUGUCGGCACACGGAAACCUGGGGCACGGGGCACCUGGAUGCCUGCAUCUGUGUCUGUAUAUUUGCCAGAGAUGAUGGGGUGGGCUGGGGGUGUGCUCUGGAAGAACCCCCCGGCACUGAUGGGUGUCUGUCCCCUGCCCUUCCUCACACUGACACUUUGUCCCCCCAUGGGGUAGGGAGCACAGUGCUUCCACCUGUGGAGAGACUACCCUCGGGGAGGCUGCUGCCGUCCGUGGCCACCGUGGGGGAGUUGGCGGGGUGGGGUCUGCCUGCCACCGGGCAAGAUCCCUGGAGCACCUCACCAGGACUUUUAUACCUUACAGUGUAACUUGUUAACUUUAUUUUACUGUGAUUAGUCCUUCAGGAAUGCUACCUCUCAGGUAAGUUAAGAGUUAGUGCUCUGAUUGAUAACUUUUUACUGUGUUGAUUUCUUUAAUGGCUUAAUUUCUUUUCUCCCUAAGUGUGGGGGGUGGGUGGGAAUACAGGACACCCAUUCAGUCUCAGUCAGGACAAAUCACUAUGCAAUCCCCACAAGGCUCUCAGAUGAGACUCACCAGCCUUCGCUCAGAAUGCGUGGAGAGGACACAGGGGUCCUGCCAGUCCUGGCAUCUGUGGACAGGAGCCUGGAAAGGGCAGGUGGAGAGAGGAGUGGGAAGGAGGCUGGAGGCAACUCAUCACAGGGUGAUGGCGUUUGCUAACAGAGCUCAGAUGCCAGAGCAGUGGGGGGUCCCCUGGGGGCUGGUGAAGCGCUUUGCCAGAAAUGCAGCAGAGCUGGCAGGUCCCUGUGCUUUUCACUGAGGAGCAGUUGUUGGGUUUUUCCUUCUUCCUUCCUCCUGGCCUCCACUGCAUGGGAGGCCGCCCCUUCCACCACAUGUGGGCCUUCUCGAGACGGGCUCUGCACACCCCAGUUCCUUUCACAGACAUUCCUGCUAGAAACUCCCAAAUUUCUCUCUAGUGUGGAUGCUACUCACUUUCUCCCCUUGCCUCUGGGUGGGGAAGCUGUCCUUAAGUUUUGUUACUCGGACAGCGACAGAGGACCCAAGAGGGCAAGUGGAAGUGGCACCCCUGAUUGUUCCUGCCAGCUUCACCCAGCCACAGGUUGCCUUGCUGGGAGGGAGGGAAAGAUGUCCAGUUUGGUCCUAGGAUCUCUAUCUCCUGCCCAGGGUUCAUCAACAUCAGCAGUGGGUGGGUGGCAAUCACAUCCUCUGUGAUCUCAAAGAGAAGAAAUACAGAAAGCCCAAGAGAGAUCAGACUGGCCCUAGACUACCAUAGCCCCAGGAAGAAAGAGCUGGAGUCAUGGCAUGCACACAACCGGACGCGCGAGAUGAACAGGCAGGGUCGGGUAUUCAAUGGCAGGAUGCACCCCUCAGAACUGAGGCUGGGCUAGUGUAAUGUUUUGCAGUUAUGAAAAAGUCAAGAAUCUAUGGGACUCAGCACGCAAAGGUUAUCCACUAGCCAGGAUCCAGUGCACGUCACUGGCUGGGGCCUUGGUGGGUGGCAGCCCUUCUUCCUACGGUUUGGCUCCGUACCCUGGUUUCCCAGCCAGACGAGGUCUCUUCUCCAGCCUCCACCUGCCUGUCUGCUCCCAGGGCUGAGUCAUGGCCACCCAGCUCCUAGUCACUCCUCUCUUCAUCUUUAAGUAACAUAUAAAUUGGGACCAGGAGGUUAUAACUUUUGAUGUGUUCAGGAUUCAUACUUUUGGCAGGUGGGAGUGGAGAGUGGGCUGGUCUUGGGGUUCUGGAUGGGGUAAAGACAGCUUCUCUGAGACAGGAGCCAUGGUGCUGGUGGAAUAUGAGAGAGGCGCACAUUUGAGCAAAACUGCCCUUCCCUAGUCCUCUGGCCGGUCUUCCUGGUAAGGAGUCCUCCCCGGGAACCCCAAAGUGCAGAUUCCAGAGCAAACACGCUCCUGUAGACAGAUGCUCACCAAACAAGUGCUCAAGUCACCCAGUGGGACCUGGAGUGUCACGUGUUUCUGAUGUGGGUGGGGUGGGUACGUUUGUUUAUGCAAUUUUUAGUUUUUGUUAAUAUCAGCAGCAACAGUCCAGUGCUUUGGGAGAUGUGUGGCCUCCCUGAAAGUCUUGUCUCUGGAGUGCUUCAGGGGCAUCCUCUGGCUCUGGAGCCUUUGCUGCGGUGUCUGCUCCCCCGGCCACCCCCCACCUCAUCUGUCUGUUUGCAGAGCCUUGUUCACAGGUCCUCAAACUGCCUUCUUGGCUCACCCGGUGCUUGGCAGUUUCAUCAUUUGGCCGAGUCUACACUGGGUGGAAGUCUCCAUGCAUAGAGUAGAUGUUCCUCCAAGCCCCUUGCCUGUCCUGCAGAAUGGUCCCCAUACCUCCCAGAGGGCCACAUCCGGUGAUGCCAGUGAAGGAUGCUGGCUGGCUGUGUGGGAGAGGCAGUGACCCAACCUGGGGAGAAGGAGGCCCUCCAGAGGAGGUAUGUUAAUGCUAAGAGGUGAAGACAGGAUGUGUUAGUUAACCUGGCAAGGAGUGGAAGGAGAUGUGUCCUGUGGAUGGAUGUGGUCCACAGAGGGUGAAGGGGGAUUGUCUGGAGACACCGCCAGAUCACAGCCUUGAAAACCUGGUCAAGGAGCUUGAAGUUUAGGCUGAGAGCAAUGGGAGCCAUGGAAAGGCUUUCAGCCCAAACGUGAUGGGCUCAGAUCCGGCCUUUAGAAAGCUGGCCGCAGCUACAGUGUGAAGAGUGGUCAGAGGGACAGGGGAGGCUGCAGGGAGAUCAGGCACAGGCACUGCAGUGAUUUAGGUGAGAGAUGAUAGAGCCGCAGGGAAGGGCGGGGGGUGGAGACAAAGCCAGCAGAUCUGAGAGAUGCACAGCCUCUGUGGUUAACUAGAUUUAUUGGUGGGAGAGGGAGCAUUUUUGCCAUUCAUCCAGCAUAAACGGGAAGAUGACUUAUUGUUUGUACCAAAUGGAUGGAUGAACGGAUUUUCUGGGCUCAGGGCUCCUGUACAGGAGAGGACAGAGACCAGCAUGGUGUAAUUAAACCUCUUCUUUUGUGUGUAUUGAGCUUCAUAGCUUGCAAAACAUUAAUGAGUUUCCUCCAGACCAAAACUACCUUAUCAGCCAUCACCACCCUUGAACUUUCACCGUUAGGCAUGUACUGUGGCGUGGAUGGAAAGGGCACUGGUUUGGGAGUUGGAGAACCUGGGUUAAAUUCCCACUCUGCCUUUGGUGUCCAUGUGAACCUUGGGCAGUCAUUGAACUUGUCUUGGUUUUGUCAUCCGCAAAAUGAGAAUAAUGCCUAUUUUACAGAAUUGCCGUGGGGAUUAAAUAAAAGCAUGUGUAUAGAGGCAUCCAGCUUGUUCCUAGACCAGGAUAGGAGCUUGGCAAGAAAUCAGUCGAACAUGAGUCCCUAAAAAAUUAAAAUCAGGUCCCCAAGGAAGAGCAUCCUCCAGGCCGAAAGCCGGGGAUACAGGAGAGUGGUGUGGGAAGGGGGUGGUCAGGGAAGGGCAGGUGGUGUAUCGAGGUGGGUGAGCUGCUGCCUGCAGCAGCUCAGGGAACAAGCUUCCCCAUGCCUCAGUUUGCUCUAGGUUAGCUCAGCAGCAGCACUCAAUAUUCCACAGAAGCAAGGGGGAAGCCAGAUUAAAUAAAUGUCAUUUUGGACUCAAAUAUAUUGGCAUUGGGAUGGUCCCUUCUUAAAGCAUUCAUCAAUUGGGUGGCUAUUGAUUUAGCAUCUUGCUUUUGCUGAGUUUAAUGGCAGCCAUGAGACAGCCUAUUGUCUCCUCAAGCUAACAGAAAGAGUGACAACACUCCACACUGCACACUUGAGCCAAGCUUUCCUGAUUGAUGCUACUGUUUGGAACUUCCCCUUUGUGGCUCCAGAGACUAUCAGAUAGCUGAGAGCCAGCAGGGACAGACCUGGACACUGCCUAGUUUCCCUUGGCCCAGGAGAGGAGAGAGGUGAACUGGUAGAGGAAGGCUGCACAGUGGCCUGUGGUUAGUACCUGUUGCUUAGAAAUUUUUCUUCUGGUUACUGAGUUCUGGAACUUACCCAUGUCCAAGAUCCAGAGUAGGGCCAGUCCAACCAGUGGGCAAAUUUCUGGAAUCCCAAGACAGAUGGUCCCGUAUUUAUGAUGGUUCAAAUUAUGAUUUUUCAACUUUAUGAUGGUGUGAAAACCAUAUACAUUCAGUAGAAACCGUACUUUCAGUACCCAUACAAAAACCAUUUCUGUUUUUCACUUUCAAACUAGUAUUUAAUAAAUUACAUGAGACAUUCAACACUUUGUUAUAAAAUAGGCUUUGUGUUAGAUGACUUUGCUGAAACGUAGGCUAAUGUUCUGAGCACGUUCAAGGUAGGCCAGGCUAAGCUAUGAUGUUUGGUAGGUUAGGUGUAUUUAACCUGCAUUUUUGACUUUUCUUU